GGAGGAAACCCACUGGUAUGGUU
Molecule: non-coding RNA, 23 nt
Filed under: Arabidopsis thaliana (thale cress)
Lineage: Eukaryota; Viridiplantae; Streptophyta; Magnoliopsida; Brassicales; Brassicaceae
Source: RNAcentral